RNAcentral lists this non-coding RNA (29 nucleotides) under Mus musculus (house mouse). Lineage: Eukaryota; Metazoa; Chordata; Mammalia; Rodentia; Muridae. The record is from RNAcentral.
UACUAUGCUAUGCCUAGGUAAUGGCCCCC